Molecule: ribosomal RNA, 788 nt
Filed under: uncultured bacterium
Lineage: Bacteria
Description: bacterial SSU rRNA
Rfam family: Bacterial small subunit ribosomal RNA
Source: RNAcentral
GAUCCUGGCUCAGAUUGAACGCUGGCCGCAUGCCUAACACAUUCAAGUCGAACGGCAGCACGGGGGCAACCCUGGUGGCGAGUGGCGAACGGGUGAGUAAUACAUCGGAACGUGUCCUGGAGUGGGGGAUAGCCCGGCGAAAGCCGGAUUAAUACCGCAUACGCUCGAGAGAGGAAAGCGGGGGAUCUUCUGACCUCGCGCUCAAGGGGCGGCCGAUGGCGGAUUANCUAGUUGGUAGGGUACCCGCCUACCAAGGCGACGAGUUGUAGCUGGUCUGAGAGGACGACCAGCCACACUGGGACUGAGACACGGCCCAAACUCCUACGGGAGGCAGCAUUGGGGAAUUUUGGACAAUGGGGGCAACCCUGAUGCCAAGCAAUCACCGCGUGUGUGAAGAAGGCCUUCGGGUUGUAAAGCACUUUUGUCCGGAAAGAAAUCCUCUGGGUUAAUACCUCGGGGGGAUGACGGUACCGGAAGAAUAAGCACCGGCUAACUACGUGCCAGCAGCCGCGGUAAUACGUAGGGUGCGAGCGUUAAUCGGAAUUACUGGGCGUAAAGCGUGCGCAGGCGGUUUGCUAAGACCGAUGUGAAAUCCCCGGGCUUAACCUGGGAACUGCAUUGGUGACUGGCAGGCUAGAGUGUGGCAGAGGGGGGUAGAAUUCCACGUGUAGCAGUGAAAUGCGUAGAGAUGUGGAGGAAUACCGAUGGCGAAGGCAGCCCCCUGGGCCAACACUGACGCUCAUGCACGAAAGCGUGGGGAGCAAACAGGAUUAGAUAGCCUGGUAGUC